AUUGAACGCUGGCGGCAGGCCUAACACAUGCAAGUCGAACGGUAACAGGAAGACGCUUGCUUCUUUGCUGACGAGAGGCGGACGGGUGAGUAAUGUCUGGGAAACUGCCUGAUGGAGGGGGAUAACUACUGGAAACGGUAGCUAAUACCGCAUAACGUCGCAAGACCAAAGAGGGGGACCUUCGGGCCUCUUGCCAUCGGAUGUGCCCAGAUGGGAUUAGCUAGUAGGUGGGGUAACGGCUCACCUAGGCGACGAUCCCUAGCUGGUCUGAGAGGAUGACCAGCCACACUGGAACUGAGACACGGUCCAGACUCCUACGGGAGGCAGCAGUGGGGAAUAUUGCACAAUGGGCGCAAGCCUGAUGCAGCCAUGCCGCGUGUAUGAAGAAGGCCUUCGGGUUGUAAAGUACUUUCAGCGGGGAGGAAGGGAGUAAAGUUAAUACCUUUGCCCAUUGACGUUACCCGCAGAAGAAGCACCGGCUAACUCCGUG
RNAcentral lists this ribosomal RNA (490 nucleotides) under uncultured bacterium. Its description in RNAcentral is "partial 16S ribosomal RNA". It matches the Rfam family "Bacterial small subunit ribosomal RNA", at positions 30 to 507 of the family's 1533-position model. The record is from RNAcentral.